GCCUAGGUGGUGGAAUUGGUAGACACGCUAGCCUUAGGAGCUAGUGCCAUUUUGGUGUAAGGGUUCAAGUCCCUUCCUGGGCACCA
This 86-nucleotide transfer RNA is filed under the name Candidatus Altimarinota bacterium. Its description in RNAcentral is "tRNA-Leu". It matches the Rfam family "tRNA". Rfam says of the family: Transfer RNA (tRNA) molecules are approximately 80 nucleotides in length. Their secondary structure includes four short double-helical elements and three loops (D, anti-codon, and T loops). RNAcentral also lists the same sequence under 1 other name. The record is from RNAcentral. Lineage: Bacteria; Candidatus Altimarinota.